Molecule: non-coding RNA, 1321 nt
Organism: Pelobates cultripes (western spadefoot toad)
Lineage: Eukaryota; Metazoa; Chordata; Amphibia; Anura; Pelobatidae
Source: the annotation of a GenBank genome assembly
AUUGGAGUUACAUGUUCGUGACUAUGUCUAAACCUGUCACACAUUCUCUUUUCAGUAUGAUUCGUCUCUGAAGAUAAUUGGCAGUUCACGUGAAACUAUUGGAGAUUUUAUCCUUCGGAUUUGUCUCAACCCUGAACUCUUUUUCGUUGUUCUUAUAGAAUUCUUUGGAAGUUUGCUCCUUUGCACAUGGGAACUUGGAGUUAUUAUUAGUUUUAUUGUUUGCUAUAUAUUUACUUCUGCUUUUUGUCGCUUUCUGAAAGAGGAAAUGAUGAGGUCACAUUGCCUUAUGUACAUCCUGCUCUCCUGUGAUUGGUUUUUUUUUUCUAUGUGUUUCUUUACUGCUGUAUGGAGUUAGUAAAGAGAGAUAUGCAAGAUACUCGCCUCCUGUCAUUAUUAAAAUUAAGAUUGUUAAAACACUAAAGCUAGCAUAAUUACCAGAUUUUACCAAUUACAUGACGUAAAGUCAUGAUUUUAUAAAGGACACAGAGGCGAAUAUUAUGCUUAUCUCCUUCUUUAUUAUACCUCAGCAGCAAAGAGAAGGGAUAAGACAUUCAUAGAAAAACUAGAAACAAGUACUCAAAGGGUUAACAUAGCAUCAUAACCCUUAACCAAUGGGAACAGUCCACAUAUCAAUAACCACCCAUGUGACCUUAACUCUCCCUCUUUCUUUGGUCAUGCCGAAGCUUAAUCAACUAUAAAACUUGAGUAGAACAAACUGGAACAGCAUAUCCGGUAUUCGGUGUGUCGAACUCCUCCAUAUGAACGGAUCUGGUGAACUUAUCCGCGGAACUGUGAAGAUAACUGGUCAUCCAAGACGUCAAGCUGAAAUGGGAUAGAGAAAGGAAAUGGUAAAAUGUGGUCUAGAGACUAUUUGUCACAGUGAUACUGGAUAAUUCGUACUAUACACGUUAUUGUCUACAGACUAAAUUACAUGCCGUAGUUGCUACUGUAUGCAAUAUAUUUACAUCAUACAUAACUAAUUGAAUCUAGACAAAACCCAACGAUGACUCUCAAUUCUAAGACUUACCGGGUGGGAAUUAAAUUAUUUUCUCUUAGCUGGUAGAAAAAAUGAGAUACCUACCGGGUGGGCUAAUAUUCGCCUCCGUGUCCUUUAUAAAAUCAUGACUUUACGUCAUGUAAUUUGUAAAAUCUGGUCAUUUUAUUAAAGGACACGGAGGCUCAUAUUAUGCUAGUUUAAAGCUGUGCAAUAACGGUCGAUGAUACAUGGUCUGUAGGAUGAAAAUAAUAUUCAUUGAAGGUGGAUUCGCGGGACCAGUCCGCCGUUCUCAAAAGGUCUUCUAAUCUGCAUCCCAAAGUAAAU